RNAcentral lists this ribosomal RNA (433 nucleotides) under uncultured bacterium. RNAcentral describes it as "partial 16S ribosomal RNA". It matches the Rfam family "Bacterial small subunit ribosomal RNA", at positions 29 to 507 of the family's 1533-position model. The record is from RNAcentral.
AACGAACGCUGGCGGCAUGCCUAACACAUGCAAGUCGAACGAGACCUUCGGGUCUAGUGGCGCACGGGUGCGUAACGCGUGGGAACCUGCCCUUAGGUUCGGAAUAACUCCCCGAAAGGGGUGCCAAUACCGGAUAAUGUCUUCGGACCAAAGAUUUAUCGCCUUUGGAUGGGCCCGCGUUGGAUUAGCUAGUUGGUAGGGUAAAAGCCUACCAAGGCGACGAUCCAUAGCUGGUCUGAGAGGAUGAUCAGCCACACUGGGACUGAGACACGGCCCAGACUCCUACGGGAGGCAGCAGUGGGGAAUAUUGGACAAUGGGCGAAAGCCUGAUCCAGCAAUGCCGCGUGAGUGAUGAAGGCCUUAGGGUUGUAAAGCUCUUUUAACCGGGAUGAUAAUGACAGUACCGGGAGAAUAAGCUCCGGCUAACUCCGUG